AUUGAACGCUGGCGGCAUGCCUUACACAUGCAAGUCGAACGGUAACAGGUUAAGCUGACGAGUGGCGAACGGGUGAGUAAUACAUCGGAACGUGCCCAGACGUGGGGGAUAGCUCGGCGAAAGCCGGAUUAAUACCGCAUAAGCUCUGAGGAGGAAAGCGGGGGACCGUAAGGCCUCGAGCGGUUGGGGCGGCCGAUGGCAGAUUAGGUAGUUGGUGGGGUAAAGGCUUACCAAGCCUACGAUCUGUAGCUGGUCUGAGAGGACGACCAGCCACACUGGGACUGAGACACGGCCCAGACUCCUACGGGAGGCAGCAGUGGGGAAUUUUGGACAAUGGGCGCAAGCCUGAUCCAGCAAUGCCGCGUGCAGGAUGAAGGCCUUCGGGUUGUAAACUGCUUUUGUACGGAACGAAAAGGCGCCUACUAAUACUGGGUGUUGAUGACGGUACCGUAAGAAUAAGCACCGGCUAACUACGUGCCAGCAGCCGCAGUAA
This 493-nucleotide ribosomal RNA is filed under the name uncultured bacterium. RNAcentral's name for it is "partial 16S ribosomal RNA". It matches the Rfam family "Bacterial small subunit ribosomal RNA", at positions 29 to 523 of the family's 1533-position model. The record is from RNAcentral.